Molecule: ribosomal RNA, 401 nt
Filed under: uncultured bacterium
Lineage: Bacteria
Description: bacterial SSU rRNA
Rfam family: Bacterial small subunit ribosomal RNA
Source: RNAcentral
UGGGGAAUAUUGCACAAUGGGCGAAAGCCUGAUGCAGCAACGCCGCGUGAGCGAUGAAGGCCUCCGGGUCGUAAAGCUCUGUCCUCAAGGAAGAUAAUGACGGUACUUGAGGAGGAAGCCCCGGCUAACUACGUGCCAGCAGCCGCGGUAAUACGUAGGGGGCUAGCGUUAUCCGGAAUUACUGGGCGUAAAGGGUGCGUAGGUGGUUUCUUAAGUCAGAGGUGAAAGGCUACGGCUCAACCGUAGUAAGCCUUUGAAACUGGGAAACUUGAGUGCAGGAGAGGAGAGUGGAAUUCCUAGUGUAGCGGUGAAAUGCGUAGAUAGUAGGAGGAACACCAGUUGCGAAGGCGGCUCUCUGGACUGUAACUGACACUGAGGCACGAAAGCGUGGGGAGCAAACA